GGCUUGUUGAUAAUAAUUUCAGGUCUGACCUGCCCAAUGAUAGUAUUGAAUGGCCGCAGUAUUUUGACUGUGCUAAGGUAGCAUAAUCAUUAGUUUUUUAAUUGAAAACUGGAAUGAAAGGUUUGAUGAAGAAAUUUCUGUCUCUAGAGAAAUUAAUUAGAAUUUUAUUUUUAAGUUAAAAAGCUUAAAUAUUUAUAGAAGACGAGAAGACCCUAUAGAGUUUUAUAUUAAAGGAAAAGAGGAAUUUUUUGGUAAUAAAAAGGUCUAUUUUUUUGUAAUAUUUUGUUGGGGUGAUAAAAAAAUUUGAUAAACUUUUUUUAAAUUGAAACAUUGAUGUGUGAAUAGGUGAUCCUUAUUUUAGAUUAUAAGAUUAAAUUACCUUAGGGAUAACAGCGUAAUUUUUUUAAGAGUUCUUAUCGGAAAAAAAGAUUGCGACCUCGAUGUUGGAUUAAAAUUAAUUUUUGGUGCAGAAGCUAGAAAAUUAGGUCUGUUCGACCUUUAAAAUUUUACAUGAUCUGAGUUUAAACCGGCGUGAG
Molecule: ribosomal RNA, 536 nt
Filed under: Trigonopterus sp. 645 AR-2022a
Lineage: Eukaryota; Metazoa; Arthropoda; Insecta; Coleoptera; Curculionidae
Description: partial large subunit ribosomal RNA
Rfam family: Bacterial large subunit ribosomal RNA
Source: RNAcentral